Molecule: unclassified non-coding RNA, 205 nt
Filed under: rhizosphere metagenome
Description: partial ribosomal RNA internal transcribed spacer region
Source: RNAcentral
GUAGGUGAACCUGCGGAGGGAUCAUUGAAGAGCAAGGGCCUCCCGGCCCGACCUCCAACCCUUUGUACUUGCAUACCAUGUUGCCUCGGGGGUGACCCUGCCGUCCGCGGUCGGGGCCCCCGGCGGACCACUCAACCCUGCAUCUUUGCGUCUGAGUCAAUCUGUAAAUCAAACAAAACUUUCAACAACGGAUCUCUUGGUUCUG